RNAcentral lists this ribosomal RNA (484 nucleotides) under uncultured bacterium. Its description in RNAcentral is "partial 16S ribosomal RNA". It matches the Rfam family "Bacterial small subunit ribosomal RNA", at positions 30 to 507 of the family's 1533-position model. The record is from RNAcentral.
AUUGAACGCUGGCGGCAGGCCUAACACAUGCAAGUCGAGCGGAUGAAGGGAGCUUGCUCCUGGAUUCAGCGGCGGACGGGUGAGUAAUGCCUAGGAAUCUGCCUGGUAGUGGGGGAUAACGUCCGGAAACGGGCGCUAAUACCGCAUACGUCCUGAGGGAGAAAGUGGGGGAUCUUCGGACCUCACGCUAUCAGAUGAGCCUAGGUCGGAUUAGCUAGUUGGUGGGGUAAAGGCCUACCAAGGCGACGAUCCGUAACUGGUCUGAGAGGAUGAUCAGUCACACUGGAACUGAGACACGGUCCAGACUCCUACGGGAGGCAGCAGUGGGGAAUAUUGGACAAUGGGCGAAAGCCUGAUGCAGCCAUGCCGCGUGUGUGAAGAAGGUCUUCGGAUUGUAAAGCACUUUAAGUUGGGAAGAAGGGCAGUAAGUUAAUACCUUGCUGUUUUGACGUUACCAACAGAAUAAGCACCGGCUAACUUCGUG